GGCUAUGGAUGGCACCCAAUGUAAGUAAGAACCAACUCACAACUGUACACAGUUGCAACCAUAUUGUCAAUGCAAGACCAAUUCUUUUACGCCUCACACUUUGUACUAUUAAAGGCAGACGAGCCAUUACUGCAAGAUAUUAAAGUGUUACAUAUCUUCAAAUCAUAGUAAAAAGGUCACAUUUCUUCAAUACUAAUUUCAAUAAAAGUAAAACAAAAUCAAAGAAUUUAAUUGAUUAAAGAACUUACAGUAGUUUAGUGAGUACAAGAAGCUCAACUGUGAGUGGAGGAAGCAAUCAAGCAAGCCAAAUAAGAAAAGGAAGUAAUAACGCACUGUCAAAGAAAAAUGAACAAUAUAGAUUUAUCAAAUUUCAUUCAACAAAAUCAACUCUUUGU
This 395-nucleotide long non-coding RNA is filed under the name Gossypium barbadense (sea-island cotton). RNAcentral describes it as "long non-coding RNA (GBAR_LNC012513)". Lineage: Eukaryota; Viridiplantae; Streptophyta; Magnoliopsida; Malvales; Malvaceae. The record is from RNAcentral.